AAUUAAUAGCCAAAUAAUGGCACAUUGGAAGAAGGAAAGAGACUAUAAAAGAGAGGUGAAGACUCCAAGAAAAGGGGGCUAGAGAUUCUAUAUUUUCACCACAAAUCUUAAUAUUAAAGGGAGAUUUGCAAAACUGCCCUUAUUCUAAUAACCUUUUGUAAAAGUGCCCUUUCCUGAAGGCCAUUUUAAAAACUACCCCUUCUAAUAUGUCAAAUGACUGUCUUACCCUCUGGAUGAUUAGGUUUCACGUUCGUUUCACAAACUUCUUCGUUUUGGCACAAACUUCUUCGUUUUCCUCUCCGAUUUUCCUCUCCGAUUUCACUCAAAAUCGCCGGCGAAUUUCCUCUCCGAUUUCACUCAAAAUCGCCGACGAAUUUUCUUUCUGAGAAACCCCAAAAUCGCCGACGAAUUUCCUCUCCGAUAAACCUGUUCUUCGCUGAAGGAUUCAGAUCAUUUCUCUACGACGCAAACAAUCCCCAGAGAUAUCGAUAGAUCCGACGGUAAUCGUUUUUAUAAUCGAUUUUAUAGUCGAUUUUAUAGUCAAUUUUAUAGUAGAUCUGACGCUAUUUCAUAACAUGUUUUGCAGAUGGAUUCAGAGAGUGAAAUCCUUACAUUGCCUGAACAAAUCUACAGAGAAGGUGAGGAAUCUAUUGCACUGGGAACCGUUCAACAAUACUCGGAUUGGAAUUUAGUUAGUAAAGUAGAGGAAGAUUUAGGCGAGUGUUUAUUUCAGAAGAUUAGAAGUUCGUUUCUUGGUCCUCUAGUUGAAUUGGGACCAAAAAUGAAGGCUAAGAAGGGAAUCAGAUUUUCUGGAAAAAUCUUUCACUAUCUCAUG
Molecule: small RNA, 835 nt
Filed under: Arabidopsis thaliana (thale cress)
Lineage: Eukaryota; Viridiplantae; Streptophyta; Magnoliopsida; Brassicales; Brassicaceae
Description: ATSL157340
Source: RNAcentral